This 127-nucleotide ribosomal RNA is filed under the name Acinetobacter baumannii. RNAcentral describes it as "partial 16S ribosomal RNA". It matches the Rfam family "Bacterial small subunit ribosomal RNA", at positions 1 to 127 of the family's 1533-position model. Lineage: Bacteria; Pseudomonadati; Pseudomonadota; Gammaproteobacteria; Moraxellales; Moraxellaceae. The record is from RNAcentral.
UAACUGAAGAGUUUGAUCAUGGCUCAGAUUGAACGCUGGCGGCAGGCUUAACACAUGCAAGUCGAGCGGGGGAAGGUAGCUUGCUACUGGACCUAGCGGCGGACGGGUGAGUAAUGCUUAGGAAUCU